RNAcentral lists this transfer RNA (48 nucleotides) under Leptocarpus canus. RNAcentral describes it as "partial tRNA-Phe". Lineage: Eukaryota; Viridiplantae; Streptophyta; Magnoliopsida; Poales; Restionaceae. The record is from RNAcentral.
GCCGGGAUAGCUCCAUUGGUAUAUCUCACGACUGAAGAUCCUCGUGUC